Eptesicus fuscus (big brown bat) is the source of this 645-nucleotide long non-coding RNA. RefSeq lists it as uncharacterized. The transcript is spliced from 2 exons. The record is from RefSeq and is a predicted model, not a curated record. Lineage: Eukaryota; Metazoa; Chordata; Mammalia; Chiroptera; Vespertilionidae.
GGCGCCUCCUCCCCGCUCCGGCGUAGCCUUCUGCGGACUCGCACCGUCACCGGAGCGCCUUCUCGCCCCUGCCGGCCAAAGCUGCCCCCUGGAGCGGCCCUGUGAACCGGCCAUUGCCCACGUCAGCCCCUGGGUCACUAAGGAGCUGGGUCCUCCGGGUGUCCUAGAACGGCUCCAGGGAUGAACUUCCGCCCUGCGGCCGGCCGCUCUGCGCGCUGGUGUCGCUCCCAGAGUUUUGACGGCUGGGGAAAUUGGGAGUCGGCUUCGCUUCUUCGCCGGGCAGAAACUGGGGGGCCUCCUUAAAACCCCCAACCUGCAUCCCUUAUACGCUUCAGGCAGGAGCCUGGAUACAGCAGCACAGCAACCGAUGGCAGAUGGGAACAGCGCUAAGCUACCUGGACAGGGACUGAGACCACUUAGCAGCCACCUGGGUCCCACCGCAGACCGUGCAGGCUCCAAAGAACUUAGCUUCAAUGUGGCACAGAAACUCCGGACACUGGCCUUUGUUUUGGCCUUGAUGAAGACAAGACUGGACUCUUUCCAUGGCGGGAGGGACAGAGAUUGGACGUUGGGAACCCAGAAGGGGCACUCUUUUGAUUUUGCUUCUGGUGCCACAAAUAAAUCUUAACACAACACAAUCUCCCA